This 461-nucleotide ribosomal RNA is filed under the name uncultured bacterium. Its description in RNAcentral is "partial 16S ribosomal RNA". It matches the Rfam family "Bacterial small subunit ribosomal RNA", at positions 338 to 795 of the family's 1533-position model. The record is from RNAcentral.
CCUACGGUGGGGCAGCAGUGAGGAAUAUUGGUCAAUGGGCGAGAGCCUGAACCAGCCAAGUCUCGUGAAGGAUGACGGCCCUACGGGUGGUAAACUUCUUUUGUCAGGGAGCAAUUGAGUCCACGUGUGGUCUUAGCGAGAGUACCUGAAGAAAAAGCAUCGGCUAACUCCGUGCCAGCAGCCGCGGUAAUACGGAGGACGCGAGCUGUAUCCGGAUUUAUGGGGUUUAAAGGGUGCGUAGGCGGAAUAUCAAGUCAGCGGUAAAAAUUCGGGGCCCAACCCCGUCGUGCCGUUGAAACUGAUGUUCUUGAGUGGGCGAGAAGUAUGCGGAAUGCGUGGUGUAGCGGUGAAAUGCAUAGAUAUAACGCAGAACUCCGAUUGCGAAGGCAGCAUACCGGCGCCCAACUGACGCUGAAGCACGAAAGCGUGGGUAUCGAACAGGAUUAGAUACCCCUGUAGUC